Punica granatum (pomegranate) is the source of this 1246-nucleotide non-coding RNA. Lineage: Eukaryota; Viridiplantae; Streptophyta; Magnoliopsida; Myrtales; Lythraceae. The record is from RefSeq and is a predicted model, not a curated record.
AAUCUCAUCUCUUCCAAUCACCAUCCAACACCUCAUCAUUUCCUAUUCAUCAUCUUCUUCAAUUUACUAAUUCCACUUACCAUUCUUCAUCCAAUUUUCAACUAUCAACUUCUCUCUCUAACAAAACUCUCUCAACUCUCUCCAAAGCUCUCAAAAACUCUCAUUUUCGGAACUCCGUACCAGCAGCCCGUCCCAAGGCCGAAACGGGCAAAAAACGACCCAAUUUUCCAGCGAUCGCAUCCCGGCCCGACCCAAACCUCAAGCAAACUUCAUACCCCCUAGUUCUCGACCUCCCGGGUCCAUUGGUGAAGUUAUUUUUACCAUUUGGAGCCUCCUCAAACCCCGUUUCAGCGCUGCCCAGAACUGAACCUUCAAGCUUUCUUCCUUUUCUGGCGUGUCUCCUCCUUCCACGACUUAGGGACCAGUGGCCUGAGCUUAGCCUCCAUCCCCACCGUGGACGCCUAAGGUGUUGGGAAUCACCGUGCACAGUAGUCGGAGUCACCUUCUCCUUCCCUUUCAACCUGGUUUACCAGAGAAGCUCAUAUCGGGUCCCCCCUGACCAGCCCCUGUAACAGCCUACUCCCAGACUCUUUUGAGCUUCUAAACCACCUCAAACACGCCCCGAGACGCAGGUAUAACUUCCUUACCUUUAGAGAUGUAGGCCUUUUAGGUUUCAUCACAUUUGUGAGGUGAUAAGGCAGUCCCUGAUCGACAAUAUGCAUGUUUAUGUUUAGCUUGCUCCCAUCUCAUUUAUUAUGUGUGCAUAGAGUUGUGAUGUAUGUUAGCAUAACAGGAAAAAGGUGUAGUUGAGGUCGAGAAGAUUAUUGCGAGGGUGGACUCUUGCUCCUUGACUUAGUCGGUUUCCCGUGCUUAAUGUUUUUUAUGUCAAGAGUCGGUGUUGUUUUAUCGAUUCCGUUAAAUAUUAUAUUUGUGUAUGUUUGCAUGCUUGUAUAUGUUUCUAAGAGCAUGGCGGCACUGACUUUGCAAAGUGUAUGGUAUUGUCUUGUUUGAUGUUUUAUACAUGCGAGAAAGGGCUAAAAUCGAGAUGGGAGACCAUCCAAGACCCGAGUCAGGUCAAGGUCGGUUCUUCUCUUGGAGAGUGGCCGAGAGCUCUUAACUUCCCUCACAGGUCAAGGGUGGCCUCCUUUCCUAGUUGAAGGUCGAUUCUCGGAUCGGUUGUAAUCGUAUUUUCCAUUUUGUCGUUAAUUAGACAAUAAUUGCAUGUUAAACGGGUUAGUUUAAGUAA